AUGUCACAUCAUGGCUCUAAUGGGUGGCUGUCCUAUAAGCAUCUACAAUAUGGACACGUCCCUGUCUUCAUAACCCAUACCUUCAUCCUGAGUGUGUACGAGACGGUCCCUGUCUUCAUAAUCCCAUACCUUCAUCCUGAGUGUGUACGAGACCGUCCCUGUCUUCAAAACCCACACCUUCAUCCUGAGUGUGUACGAGACGGUCCCUGUCUUCAUAUCCCAUACCUUCAUCCUGAGUGUGUACGAGACGGUCUCUGUCUUCAUAUCCCAUACCUUCAUCCUGAGUGUGUACGAGACCGUCCCUGUCUUCAUAACCCAUACUUUCAUCCUGAGUGUGUACGAGACCAUCCCUGUCUUCAUAACCCAUACCUUCAUCCUGAGUGUGUACGAGACGUCUCUGUCUUCAUAACCCAUACCUUCAUCCUGAGUGUGUACGAGACCAUCCCUGUCUUCAUAACCCAUACCUUCAUCCUGAGUGUGUACGAGACGGUCUCUGUCUUCAUAAACCAACCUUCAUCCUGAGUGUGUACGAGACGGUCUCUGUCUUCAUAAACUAACCUUCAUCCUGAGUGUGUACGAGACAUACACCGUUGAAAAGUUUGGGGUCACUUAGAAAUGUCCUUGUUUUUGAAAGAAAAGUCAAUUUUUUGUCCAUUAAAAUAACAUCAAAUUGAUCAGAAAUACAGUGUAGACAUUGUUAAUGUUGUAAAUGACUAUUGUAGCUGGAAACGACUGAUUUUUAAUGGAAUAUCUACAUAGGCGUACAGAGGCCCAUUAUAAGCAACCAUCACUCCUGUGUUCCAAUGACACGUUGUGUUAGCUAAUCCAAGUUCAUCAUUUUAAAAGGCUAAUUGAUCAUUAGAAAACACUUUUGCAAUUAUGUUAGCCCGGCUAAAAACUGUUGUACUGACUAAAGAAGCUAUAAAACUGGCGUUCUUUAGACUAGUUGAGUACCUGAAGCAUCAGCAUUUGUGGGUUUGAUUACAAGCUUAAAAUGUCCAGAAACAAAGCACUUUCUUCUGAAACUCAUCAGUCUAUUCUUGUUCAGAGAAAUGAAGGCUAUUCCAUGUGUGGAAUUGGCAAGAAACUGAAGAUCUCAUACAACGCUGUGUAAUAAUCCCUUCACAGAACAGCACAAACUGGCUCUAACCAGAAGAGAAAGAGGAGUGGGAGGCCCCGGUGCACAACUGAGCAAGAGAACAAGUACAUUAGAGUGUCUAGUUUGAGACACAGACACCUCACAAGUCCUCAACUGGCAGCUUCAUUAAAUAGUGCCCGCAAAACACCAGUCUCAACGUCAACAGUGAAGAGGCGACUCCGGGAUGUUGACCUUCUAGGCAGAGUUCCUCUGUCCAGUCUCAACGUUAACAGUGAAGAGGCGACUCCGGGAUGUUGACCUUCUAGGCAGAGUUCCUCUGUCCAGUCUCAACGUCAACAGUGAAGAGGCGACUCUGGGAUGUUGACUUCUAGGCAGAGUUCCUCUGUCCAGUCUCAACGUCAACAGUGAAGAGGCGACUCUGGGAUGUUGACCUUCUAGGCAGAGUUCCUCUGUCCAGUCUCAACGUCAACAGUGAAGAGGCGACUCCGGGAUGUUGACCUUCUAGGCAGAGGUCCUCUGUCCAGUCUCAACGUCAACAGUGAAGAGGCGACUCCGGGAUGUUGACCUUCUAGGCAGAGUUUCUCUGUCCAGUCUCAACGUCAACAGUGAAGAGGCGACUCCGGGAUGUUGACCUUCUAGGCAGAGUUUCUCUGUCCAGUCUCAACGUCAACAGUGAAGAGGCGACUCCGGGAUGUUGACCUUCUAGGCAGAGUUCCUCUGUCCAGUCUCAACGUCAACAGUGAAGAGGCGACUCCGGGAUGUUGACCUUCUAGGCAGAGUUUCUCUGUCCAGUCUCAACGUCAACAGUGAAGAGGCGACUCUGGGAUGUUGACCUUCUAGGCAGAGUUCCUCUGUCCAGUCUCAACGUCAACAGUGAAGAGGCGACUCUGGGAUGUUGACCUUCUAGGCAGAGUUCCUCUGUCCAGUCUCAACGUCAACAGUGAAGAGGCGACUCCGGGAUGUUGACUUCUAAGCAAAGUGGCAUUGGAAUACAGGAGUGAUGGUUUCUGAUAAUGGGCCUCUGUACUCCUAUGUAGAUAUUCCAUAAUAAAAUCUGACGUUUCUAGAUACAAUAGUCAUUUACAACAUUAACAAUGUCCACACUGUAUUUCUGAUCAAUUUGAUGUUAUUUUAAUGGACAAAAAAUGUGCUUUUCUUUUAAAAAUAUGGACAUUUCUAAGUGACCCCAAACUUCUGAACAGCAGUGUACAUACCCCAGAACCACCAUUGACUGUAGCCAUUCUCAAAACAAGUGUUAGAUAUUAAACAAACUAAAAUAUGAAGAACCUUUGUAUGUCUUUUCCUAUAUAUAUAUAUAUACCAUUGUACAUACGUGUGUACGUAUGAAUGUUUGUAUGUAAAAUAUAUAUUCAAUGUUAAUGAAGAAAGGGAAUGUUUGUUGUUGGAAAUUCUAACAGAACCAUGUAAUAACCAACACUGUUAAAUCUGGGUUUUGUCUUCUUUUUGCGUUACGUUGAUGACAUUAAAUUUGGGACCACAACAAUUUUCUUUCUUCUAAAAUCAUCUCCAGAAACGUCUGGGAAUCUGAAAUCAAAUGUCUAUUCCAUUACUAAUAAUCAUCGUGUAUGGUUAAGAUCUUCAAAUAAAUGACAGUUGGUAUGGGGCAUGUACCAAAUGGCACCAUAUUCCCUGUAUAGUGCACUACUUUUAAACAAGGCCCAUAGAACUCUGCUCAAAAGUAGUGCACUAUAAAAGGAAUAAGGUGUCAAUUCGGACACACACAUACUUAAUCAUUAGAAGUGGACUCAUGCAGACAAGUGUUUCUAUUCAGUCAUACUAUAACUAUAGGAGUCAUAUAGUAACUGUAGGAGUCACAGUAUAACUGUAGGAGUCACACUCUAACUGUAGGAGUCAGACUAUAACUAUAGGAGUCAGACUAUAACUAUAGGAGUCAGACUAUAACUAUAGGAGUCAGACUAUAACUAUAGGAGUCAGACUAUAACUAUAGGAGUCAGACUAUAACUAACUAUAGGAGUCAUACUAUAACUAUAGGAGUCAUACUAUAACUAUAGGAGUCAGACUAUAACUAUAGGAGUCAGACUAUAACUGUAGGAGGCAGACUAUAACUUUAGGAGUCAGACUAUAACUUUAGGAGUCAGACUAUAACUAUAGGAGUCAGACUAUAACUAUAGGAGUCAGACUAUAACUAUAGGAGUCAGACUAUAACUAUAGGAGUCAGACUAUAACUAUAGGAGUCAGACUAUAACUAAC
Oncorhynchus mykiss (rainbow trout) is the source of this 3331-nucleotide long non-coding RNA. Lineage: Eukaryota; Metazoa; Chordata; Actinopteri; Salmoniformes; Salmonidae. The record is from Ensembl.